GAUGGCUGAUCAAGAAGGGCCAUGGCCUAGAUCAAUGGCUCACAUUGCAUUUGGUGAGUGUGUUGGUCUACCAUCUCCUCAAGUGGGAGAGUGGAUGUCGUAAUUUGUGAUAGAGGGAAUGUGAUGAGACUUAUCUGUGAGUAAUGAAAUUUGUUGGGAUA
This is a long non-coding RNA of Triticum aestivum (bread wheat), 161 nucleotides long. RefSeq lists it as uncharacterized. The transcript is spliced from 2 exons. The record is from RefSeq and is a predicted model, not a curated record. Lineage: Eukaryota; Viridiplantae; Streptophyta; Magnoliopsida; Poales; Poaceae.